RNAcentral lists this ribosomal RNA (497 nucleotides) under uncultured bacterium. Its description in RNAcentral is "partial 16S ribosomal RNA". It matches the Rfam family "Bacterial small subunit ribosomal RNA", at positions 28 to 507 of the family's 1533-position model. The record is from RNAcentral.
GAUGAACGCUGGCGGCGUGCCUAAUACAUGCAAGUCGAGCGAACAGACGAGGAUCUUGCUCCUCUGACGUUAGCGGCGGACGGGUGAGUAACACGUGGAUAACCUACCUAUAAGACUGGGAUAACUUCGGGAAACCGGAGCUAAUACCGGAUAAUAUAUUGCACCGCAUGGUUCAAUAGUGAAAGACGGUUUUGCUGUCACUUAUAGAUGGAUCCGCGCCGCAUUAGCUAGUUGGUAAGGUAACGGCUUACCAAGGCGACGAUGCGUAGCCGACCUGAGAGGGUGAUCGGCCACACGGGAACUGAGACACGGUCCAGACUCCUACGGGAGGCAGCAGUAGGGAAUCUUACGCAAUGGGCGAAAGCCUGACGGAGCAACGCCGCGUGAGUGAUGAAGGUCUUCGGAUCGUAAAACUCUGUUAUUAGGGAAGAACAAAUGUGUAAGUAAAUAUGCACGUAUUGACGGUACCUAAUCAGAAAGCCACGGCUAACUACGUG